This 411-nucleotide ribosomal RNA is filed under the name Verrucomicrobiota bacterium. RNAcentral's name for it is "Verrucomicrobia bacterium partial 16S ribosomal RNA". It matches the Rfam family "Bacterial small subunit ribosomal RNA", at positions 355 to 776 of the family's 1533-position model. Lineage: Bacteria; Pseudomonadati; Verrucomicrobiota. The record is from RNAcentral.
UGGGGAAUAUUGCGCAAUGGGGGAAACCCUGACGCAGCGACGCCGCGUGCGGGAUGAAGGCCUUCGGGUUGUAAACCGCUUUUGAUUGGGAGCAAGCUUUCGGGUGAGUGUACCUUUCGAAUAAGCGCCGGCUAACUACGUGCCAGCAGCCGCGGUAAUACGUAGGGCGCAAGCGUUAUCCGGAAUUAUUGGGCGUAAAGAGCUUGUAGGCGGUUCGUCGCGUCUGGUGUGAAAGCCCAUCGCUUAACGGUGGGGUUGCGCCGGGUACGGGCGGGCUAGAGUGCAGUAGGGGAGACUGGAAUUCCCGGUGUAACGGUGGAAUGUGUAGAUAUCGGGAAGAACACCGAUGGCGAAGGCAGGUCUCUGGGCUGUUACUGACGCUGAGAAGCGAAAGCGUGGGGAGCGAACAGG